RNAcentral lists this ribosomal RNA (441 nucleotides) under uncultured bacterium. Its description in RNAcentral is "partial 16S ribosomal RNA". It matches the Rfam family "Bacterial small subunit ribosomal RNA", at positions 338 to 795 of the family's 1533-position model. The record is from RNAcentral.
CCUACGGGUGGCAGCAGUGGGGAAUAUUGCUCAAUGGAGGAAACCCUGAUGCAGCGACGCCGCGUGAGCGAUGAAGUAUCUCGGUAUGUAAAGCUCUAUCAGCAGGGAAGUAAAUGACGGUACCUGACUCAGAAGCCCCGUCUAACUACGUGCCAGCAGCCGCGGUAAUACGUAGGGGGCAAGCGUUAUCCGGAUUUAUUGGGUUUUAAGGGUGCGUAGGCUGUGAGGUAAGUCAGCGGGGAAAUUCCCCCGCUAAACGGGGUGAAGUGCCCUUGAUACUGCCUGGCUGGAAUGCGGAUGACGUGGGAGGAAUGUGUGGUGUAGCGGUGAAAUGCAUAGAUAUCACACAGAACACCGAUUGCGAAGGCAUCUCACGAAUCCGCGAUUGACGCUGAUGCACGAAAGCGUGGGGAUCAAACAGGAUUAGAUACCCCGGUAGUC